GUAAAAAAAUGUUUUUUAUAGCUUGUUGGACGUAUUGCAAUAUAUAUCAUCGCAAGUUGUGGUUAUUGGUCUAAGUUGUCUUACUGAUAGUUGUUGAUCAAUCUGGAAUUUAUUUGCAUGAUGAUGAUCAACUCUUGGAGAAGAUGGUAACAUUUCGUUUCUCACAUCGAAAAUAGUUAUUCUUUCCCCCUCGAAUGAAGACUCUUUAAGAUUAGUGGACCAUGUUCUUUUACUUCCCAAGGACUCAAGUUUGUCUUCCCACUAUGUAGAACAAAUUAAUCUCAAGCUUUCAGUUUUGAAACUUAAUACAUGUUCUUGUCUGAUAACUAUGCUCAAAGUUGAGGUGCCUCAUUUUGAAAUAUGCUCAUCUAAUUGAUGAAUAAAUGAAGUGAUGCUCAUUACAAAAUUUUGUUUUGU
This is a long non-coding RNA of Impatiens glandulifera, 417 nucleotides long. RefSeq lists it as uncharacterized. The transcript has 3 exons. Lineage: Eukaryota; Viridiplantae; Streptophyta; Magnoliopsida; Ericales; Balsaminaceae. The record is from RefSeq and is a predicted model, not a curated record.